Molecule: ribosomal RNA, 253 nt
Filed under: uncultured bacterium
Lineage: Bacteria
Description: partial 16S ribosomal RNA
Rfam family: Bacterial small subunit ribosomal RNA
Source: RNAcentral
UACGGAGGGAGCUAGCGUUAUUCGGAAUUACUGGGCGUAAAGCGCACGUAGGCGGCUUUGUAAGUUAGAGGUGAAAGCCUGGAGCUCAACUCCAGAACUGCCUUUAAGACUGCAUCGCUUGAAUCCAGGAGAGGUGAGUGGAAUUCCGAGUGCAGAGGUGAAAUUCGUAGAUAUUCGGAAGAACACCAGUGGCGAAGGCGGCUCACUGGACUGGUAUUGACGCUGAGGUGCGAAAGCGUGGGGAGCAAACAGG